Otolemur garnettii (small-eared galago) is the source of this 107-nucleotide small nuclear RNA. Lineage: Eukaryota; Metazoa; Chordata; Mammalia; Primates; Galagidae. The record is from Ensembl.
CUGCUUGCUUCAGCAGCACAUACACUAAAAUUGGAACAAUACAGAAACAAUUAGCAUGGCCCCCGUGCAAGGAUGUCAGGCAAAUUCAUGAAGUGUUCCAUAUUAAA